UGCAGCUUACUCAGUUGGUAGAGUGCUUGCCUAGAAUGCAUGAAGCCCUGGGUUCAAACUCUAGAAGUGCAU
This 72-nucleotide transfer RNA is filed under the name Mus musculus (house mouse). It matches the Rfam family "tRNA". From Rfam's summary of the family: Transfer RNA (tRNA) molecules are approximately 80 nucleotides in length. Their secondary structure includes four short double-helical elements and three loops (D, anti-codon, and T loops). Further hydrogen bonds mediate the characteristic L-shaped molecular structure. tRNAs have two regions of fundamental functional importance: the anti-codon, which is responsible for specific mRNA codon recognition, and the 3' end, to which the tRNAs corresponding amino acid is attached (by aminoacyl-tRNA synthetases). tRNAs cope with the degeneracy of the genetic code in two manners: having more than one tRNA (with a specific anti-codon) for a particular amino acid; and 'wobble' base-pairing, i.e. permitting non-standard base-pairing at the 3rd anti-codon position. The record is from Rfam by way of RNAcentral. Lineage: Eukaryota; Metazoa; Chordata; Mammalia; Rodentia; Muridae.